Molecule: long non-coding RNA, 1260 nt
Filed under: Capra hircus (goat)
Lineage: Eukaryota; Metazoa; Chordata; Mammalia; Artiodactyla; Bovidae
Description: lncRNA (ENSCHIG00000001991.1)
Source: RNAcentral
CAGGAGACACAAGAGACACUGGUUUAAUCCCUGGGUCAGGAAGAUCCCCUGUAGGAGGAUAAGGCAACCCUCCUCCAGGAUCCUUGCCUGGAGAAUGCCAUGCACAGAGGUGGCCAUAGGGUCACAAAGCAGCGGACAUGAAUGAAGUGACUUCGCACACACGAGUCACUCUGCUGUGCACCCGAAACCAUCACAACACUGUUAACCGGCUAUCCGCCAAUAUAAAAUAAAAAGCCUAAAAUAUCUUUGAAGGAGAUGUAGCUGCUCCCACUUCACAGAUGAGGAAAGGGAGACCCAAAGAGAGAAUGGAGUUAUUGAGUAGCAAAAGUGGGCAGCUAGUUAAGAUUCCUGCUUCUCAAUUCAGGUCUCUUCCUAACCCUAUCCCUUUCUGUUUUUGAACCUGGGCUAUCAUAUUGUCUGUCAUGGGAAGAGACAUCACAGUGGGGUCAACAGAUGAUGUGUGAAGUUACCCACUGCCACAAAAGGAAGCUCGCUUGCAGACAAUGUUUAUCAAAGGCUGGGAGACAUUGUGAUUGAUAAAAAUAAUGAAGAUGACGGUAAUAAUGAAGGAUAGGGGCAGAGUGUUGACUUAGAAGGUCACAGUUCUGGUGCGAGCAAGCCAGGGAGCCAUUGUUGGUCCUGCUGAACUUGGGCAGAAGGCCUCCCUGACAGCAGGCUAAGCACAACAAGCAGAUGCCUGCAGCCCCACAGAAGACGUCACCCACGAUUGUUUCCAAUCAUGCGGACACAGCCCAAGUUGCCAAGUACGGUGGUUCCUGUUCCCUGCAAUCCAGCGAGGAGCCCAGCUGACUCACCACAUGCCACCAGCCAUGAGACCGGGCUUCAUCACAUCCGCCUCUGGGUGCAGAACACUCUGCUGCAGACAUGGAAAUAACAGAUGCUGGGAGACAGACACACAGACAUGCACACCAUAUCAGAUUAGGUUGCUUGGAUGAAAGUUACCUGUUCAAAACACACCCACUGCCUUCACAGAGGUUAUAUACGGUGCCCUCGGUGCCCUUGAUCCCUGGGCUGGGAAGAUCCCCUCGAGGAGGAAAUGGCAACACACGCCAAUAUUCUUGCCAGAAACAUUCCCAUGGGCAGAGGAGCCUGCUGGGCUCCAUCCCCUGGGGUUGCACGGAGUCCUCUGUAAUCCACGUCUGACUCCUUGCUUUCCCACUAAGGAAGCAAACCGAAAGGCCAGUAAAAGGACAUUAUGAUAAGCACUCUUUUAAAUCUUCUCUAUUUCACAAAUAAAAC